This 340-nucleotide unclassified non-coding RNA is filed under the name Hevea brasiliensis (rubber tree). The record is from RNAcentral. Lineage: Eukaryota; Viridiplantae; Streptophyta; Magnoliopsida; Malpighiales; Euphorbiaceae.
AUUGCACUUAGUUGCAGUCAUUUCAGAUGUUAGAAGUAGACGCAAGUGAUGUACCAGUUUAGGAAAAUGCUUUGUUGCUUAAGAAUCUUGACAUAUGAAUGGCUUUAAUCAUGCAACUAUGCUAGCAGAAAACUUAACUGAAGACAUGUCAGCCCUUAAACAAAAAAAUCCAUAUUUUCACCUGAAUCCAGUCGGGAAAGGUUAUCAAGAAUCUGAUGCAUUCAGCUCUAAGGCUUCUCCCACACUAUGGUAUCCUUCCAAAACAAGAUUUUCGAUGCAGAAAAGUACAUACCUAAUAUUACUAAAGGCUUGACAACCUAAGAUAGCUAAAAUAAUGGCG